Long non-coding RNA from Scylla paramamosain (green mud crab), 2067 nucleotides. RefSeq lists it as uncharacterized. The transcript is spliced from 11 exons. NCBI's taxonomy places the organism in Eukaryota, Metazoa, Arthropoda, Malacostraca, Decapoda, Portunidae. The record is from RefSeq and is a predicted model, not a curated record.
GUCAUGGGCUCAAAUGAAAACGGUGCUUGCUGUUGGUGUUGAGUGGCUGCGGACAUGUAACGUGAUAAUUACUUACUGCUUAAUUAACUUCUUGAUGUGCCAGCCAGGGUGGUUGUGUCUUCAGGCUCUCCACUACGUCACCUAGGACCUCGGCGAGCAAGGGCCAGAGCACGGGUUUGGUAUCCUCCAGGCGUCAGUAGUAGCAGCAGCAGAGGGAGGAGGAGGAGGAAGAAGGCGGGCGUGUUCUUCAUGGCUGGAGGCUUGUAGUGUGUCAGAAAUCCCAAGAACGAAUACUGCAUGGCCCCUUACAUCGGGUUCAUAAUUGCUGCACGUCACUGAAACGUAAUACCUCGCAUACAAACUGAACAAGUCCCAAACCCGUGACACUCCCAGGACGUCAAGAAACUUGCAGGACGCCUGAUAACCAACAACUGACCCGAGAAUAACACGGCAGUGCCCGCUAUCACAACACCACAUGUUUUGCAAGUCAUCAGUGACCAUCGACAUGCGUGCUGAUCCGAUCGCGUGCCCUGUACCCGGCAGUUCUCGGCCGCCAUGCAGCACGGAUGGCAUAGUGAAAGACAGCCGUGAAAGGAACAGCCUGUAAAUAUAGUGGACAUGGGAAGAAACAAUUGGAAGGGAAAAUCUGUGACACCACGAAAAUUAGUGCCUAAAACAAGAUCUGCCAACAACAACAACAUGGACACAGUCGGCCCUGCUGCUGUCACCCUGAGACAGGAAAACCCAAUUGGUCUGUAGAUGGGUGAAAUACCAUGUGGAUGGAGUGUGUGACUCAGGCAUCUGUGAAUGGAUUACUGGCACUCUGAGAGCUGGCCCAAGAUGCUCAAUCCCCAUGACCCAGAGUGAUCAGCUGCACACUGACCCAAAUACCUGGCAGCCUGACUAGUCGUAUGCCCUCAGGAAGUGACAGUCUCAAGUGAAAGCAGAAUAUGGCAUGGUAAUGUACUGGGAUGGAGUGCUGGUCCUGGCUGCUAGAGGGACUGCUACUGCUACAGCUGGGAAGGUUCAACCAUCUUGUGUGCCUCUGCCAGACACUGAGACUCAGCUGGAUGUGCUGAAGGAGCUGCACGCAAGAAAUAAGUAAUGGCACUUCACAUGGAAAAUCCUCAAGUUGAAGGAACCAGCAAAGGAAAGAAUAUACUCUGAUGAAGUUUGAUGAACCCAGAGGUCUCUGCCAGCCGACAUGACUGAUAGUGUACAGGUAACCUCAGGAGAGGCUUCAGAAACCUUUAUAGCAAAGCCGCACCAGCUGGGCAUCAAUUGGCUCUCAGGUGAUCUGUUUUACUGAUCACACCCAUCAUCGUAGGGUCGAGGAAAGGCAGUUCUCCCUGACACGUUUAUUGAUGAGAGUGGUGGCAGUGUUCUUGAGACAAGCAGUAGAAAAACUAGCUAAGCACAAGCAUCACGUGGACCUACUAUUACCACCCACCACCACUGCAGACAGUGGUGGUGGUGCUGGGAGCUAGUAAAUGCUUUCAGUAUUAAUAGUCAUGACUGACUGCAACAGUUCUGUGUCUGCUAUUUACUGCUACUACAACAAUAUUUUGCUUAGAUUCGAUGAAUGUUGUUAUAGUUAGUGGAUCCAUACUAAUUUGGUACUUGGUGUGUUGACUGUACUGUACCACUCUUAUCUGUUGCCACCACAACCCUGAAGUGAUCAUGAAUGAUCUUCAAAUCCAAGACCAUGCUGUUACAUACAACUUAUAAUUUUGGUAUGAUUAAGGCAAAGCAUUUACAGUAUGAGCAAGAGUGAGAGAUCUUCAUUUGCCUGUUGACUGUCAAUGUGGAAGCAAUGUGAGACAUAUACAGCCGACAUCAAGUAAGGCUGGAUUCACUAUAGUCAAAAAACAUCCAGUGGUUGUAGUUGUAGUUGUGGUGGUGGUGGUGGUGGUGGUGCUCCAUCUUUUAUGCCUAUCUACUACUAGUCCAUUACUAACAACUACUAUUUUUUUUACUGUUGAAUAUAGAAAUUAUUGUUACUGUUGUUAUUAUUAUUUUCUACUAUCAUUAUUAUGACUGAUUCAGAUUAUACAUUAAAAAUAUAAA